RNAcentral lists this long non-coding RNA (1707 nucleotides) under Salmo salar (Atlantic salmon). Its description in RNAcentral is "lncRNA (ENSSSAG00000092998.1)". Lineage: Eukaryota; Metazoa; Chordata; Actinopteri; Salmoniformes; Salmonidae. The record is from RNAcentral.
GCUUGAUGGAUUGAGGAGAUGGACAUUUUCAGUUCAGUGAGUUGUGGGGUUUUAAUUGGAGAAAGAUGCGUCCUUGUUAUGGUGUUGAAGACCCACUCUUGUCUCAGUGCAACCCCAACGUGACCUUUGUGUAGCCCAAUGGAAGAAAUGGCCCAAAGCAGACCGAGUUUCAUCUUGUUUGGGGGAUUUGCUGCAUCCUGUCUCUGUUUCACAGUUUUGUGUAUCAUUUCAACAUGAUGAUAUUGUCCAUGCUCCUAUCUAACAGAUCUGAUGAUGAAGUUUAAUUAAGGGUAGUUUGAGCGAGGGGUCCAGGGGGGUGUAGUAUCAAAGCUUGUAUCCGUCUCUCCCAAUGUCAGUCAUGACUGGCCAUCAGGGGCAGUGCCCUGGAGGAGGGUGAGAGAGAGCGGGGGAUACAGUAAAACUGGGGAUCGGAGGGGGCUUGGCUGUGACUUUGCCCCAGGAUGGGGACCAGGGACAAGGGUCUGAGUAUGUGAGUGACAACCCAGAAGGGCCACCAAGUCAUCCGUUUCACUCAGAGGCAGCCGUUGACUUUGUGCGUGUGUGUGUGCGUGUGUGUGUGUGUGUGUGUGUAUAGCAGUGUUUGUGUCCACUUAGGCCAGAGCGCAGGGCACAGACAACCUUCUGCUUGCUGCCACAGCGAUGCCUUUGCCAUGUCGAUGGCCUGGGUGCCGUGGAGACGAGGGGUCAAGGCUGACUCUAUGACAGGGCCACUCCGGGCUGCUACCCAGCUGCCCCGGCAGCGCUACUAAUUAAUUGUGAAAUUAUAGUGGCCUCUAUCUCUGUCUCUCCCCCCCUUCCUCCCAGUCUAUCCAUUCUCAUAUGACUGCAGAGUUCUUUGGGGGACAUAGACUAGCUGUACAGGGACUCUAUCCCCUGGGACAGAAACCAGCUGUACAGGGACACUAUCCCCUGGGACAGAGACUAGCUGUACAGGGACUCUAUCCCCUGGGACAGAGACCAGCUGUACAGGGACACUAUCCCCUGGGACAGAGACCAGCUGUACAGGGACUCUAUCCCCUGGGACAGAGACCAGCUGUACAGGGACACUAUCCCCUGGGACAGAGACCAGCUGUGCAGGGACACUAUCCCCUGGGACAGAGACUAGCUGUACAGGGACACUGUCCCCUGGGACAGAGACCAGCUGUACAGGGACACUAUCCCCUGGGACAGAGACCAGCUGUGCAGGGACACUAUCCCCUGGGACAGAGACCAGCUGUGCAGGGACACUAUCCCAUGGGACAGAGACCAGCUGUGCAGGGACACUAUCCCUUGGGACAGAGACUAGCUGUACAGGAACACUAUCCCCUGGGACAGAGACCAGGUGUGCAGGGACACUAUCCCCUGGGACAGAGACUAGCUCUACAGACUCUUUCAAUUGACCCAGAGCAUCCCAAUGUGUCGCAUGUCAGUUAAUGAGGAAGGGACAGAUUGUGUGUGUUCAUUUGUUGCUUGCUCUAUUCCCUGUCUCUGUGGUUGCUGCCUCUGACGUAGAGGGAGAGCCAUGGCCUUGUCAGUGGAUGGAUAUCCUUGUUCUGCUCAGCGCUGCCUUUAUUUGUCAGAGAUCAUUAGGCCUUGUUCUAAGAGCCUGGUGUUGCCCUGCUAUCAAACUGUCAACGCUGAAAGGCUACUCUUCCCGUUCACUGGUCACCUGCCAUUUCUCUGGAACUUUGUGUGUGUGUGUGUGUG